Molecule: ribosomal RNA, 497 nt
Filed under: uncultured bacterium
Lineage: Bacteria
Description: bacterial SSU rRNA
Rfam family: Bacterial small subunit ribosomal RNA
Source: RNAcentral
AUUGAACGCUGGCGGUAUGCUUAACACAUGCAAGUCGAACGGUAACAGGCUUUCGGGCGCUGACGAGUGGCGGACGGGUGAGUAACGCGUAGGAAUCUGCCUUAUAGUGGGGGACAACGUGGGGAAACCCACGCUAAUACCGCAUACGCCCUACGGGGGAAAGCGGGGGAUCUUAGGACCUCGCGCUAUGAGAUGAGCCUGCGUUAGAUUAGCUAGUUGGUAGGGUAAAGGCCUACCAAGGCGACGAUCUAUAGCUGGUCUGAGAGGACGAUCAGCCACACUGGGACUGAGACACGGCCCAGACUCCUACGGGAGGCAGCAGUGGGGAAUAUUGGACAAUGGGCGCAAGCCUGAUCCAGCAAUACCGCGUGUGUGAAGAAGGCCCUAGGGUUGUAAAGCACUUUCAAUGGGGAGGAAAACCUGCCGGUCAAUACCCGGUAGCUUGACAUUACCUAUAGAAGAAGCACCGGCUAACUCCGUGCCAGCAGCCGCGGUAA